Molecule: long non-coding RNA, 607 nt
Filed under: Rattus norvegicus (Norway rat)
Lineage: Eukaryota; Metazoa; Chordata; Mammalia; Rodentia; Muridae
Description: long non-coding RNA NONRATT005235
Source: RNAcentral
GGUCCUGGAGCAGUUCCUGGCUGUGCUACCUGGGGAGAUCCAAGCCCGGGUGAGGACACAGCACCUUGGGAGCGGUGAGGAAGCUGUCGCUUUGGUGGAGGACAUACAGAAUCAGUCAUUGAAAACCUGGCCACAGGAUGAGCUCUCAGAGGUGGAGCCUAAGGCAGCAGUCCAGGAAUUCCAAGCCACAGCAUCUCCCAAGAAGGCAGGAGUGCAGAAGCAGCUAUGUGCAUCCCAAGAGCAGCACAGCCACGCCCAGCCCCCUGUUCUUAAAGAGAGACGGACAGGAGAGAUGUUGGAUGUCUGCUUUGCCUCUGAAGUUGAUAAUGGAGCUCCCUGGGCCCUGCUCAGAGAAACCUCUUCUGGGAUAUCAAGAGAGAAAACUCCCGGGAUGCUGCCCUCGAGUUAAGCCAGCUGUGCUCAGUGGGCGGGGCGUGUGGUGGUGGCUUCACCUGUGGAAAGCGGGGUGCUGGUACAGGGAACAGGCAGAGGUCUUUAUAGUGGCACGCACCUCUCAGAAGGAUCAGCUCAGCUGAUGUCCCCGAGGCUCCCUCAGAACUGCUCGUUUGUUGACCUGUCAUCUUCCCAUUAAAAACACUUUUGAAAU